CUUCCUUCUUUUUUCUUAAUAAAUUAUUGACGCAUACAAAAAAAUUACGCAUCUAAAUCACAACCAGUACUUACAAGUAAUAAUAACUGGAAGAAAGAAAAAAAGAAGGAACAGCUCUUAUCAUGGGCCGGAAUUGGAUGGGGAACGCGGCAGCGGCGGCCGGCGGUAGCCCGCGAAGGAGAAGGAGCAGCUCUUAUCGUGCGGCAUGGAGGAAUGCUUCCACCUCCUCAGCAUCGACAGCGCAGAAGAGGCGGGAGCGGCCGCUCCCGCGCUGCUAUGUCCCACUCCCUCUCACGGAGGCAACGUGGGCGGGCGGGCGACGACCUUGAUGUGUGGAUGAUCGGGAGGAUGAGCUCGGGUGUCGGGCGCUCGGGAUUGACGGGCAGCCGGACGGGACGGCCCUCAGGCGUGGGCUCCUCUUCCCCAAUGCAAGCCGCCAAGCAUUAGUGAUAGAUCAAUGGAAUCGGCGGUGGUGGGGUCGAGGUCGUCUUGUUCAUCAAUGGCCGGCGAGUGUCUGGACACAAGAAUGGCCCUCCUCAUCUGCUUCCACCAGCCCCAUCUGCCUCCUCAGGUCAGUCAGUACUCGUGGACCGACCGUUGGCAUCGCAAAGAGGCGGACUGGCGGAGAAUGGCACUCCCUUUGUAGCGAUGAACGCAACUGCCACGCUUCUGUCGCCAGCCAUCGCCGUGACUUCGCUGUGAGCAAGUUUACCUAGGUGCUCAGUUAAGUUCUUGCAUUUUAGCUCAAGAAUUCAUCCGCGCUGAGGUAAAAAGAAUGUUAUGGCUCAUGAAGCGGAUUGUCAGGUACGAAAUAUCUUGGAAUGGUUCCUCUGCUGUGGUACACGUAAGAGCUAUGUCCUAUAAGUUUAUUGAAAAAUUACGAUCUAAUUGGACCGAAAUUCCCAUGGCUAGUAUCUUACAUGUAUGAAUAGACUUAUUGGAUUACUAAGUUCUGUUUUUUUGAAAAAUAAUAGUAAAAACAACUCUUUAUAAUGGAAAUAUUCCCAUGACAA
Molecule: long non-coding RNA, 1013 nt
Organism: Panicum virgatum (switchgrass)
Lineage: Eukaryota; Viridiplantae; Streptophyta; Magnoliopsida; Poales; Poaceae
Exons: 2
Source: RefSeq, a predicted model, not a curated record